UGGGUUCAGAACGUCGUGAGACAGUUCGGUCCCUAUCCGUCGUGGGCGUAGGAAAUUUGAGAGGAGCUGUCCUUAGUACGAGAGGACCGGGAUGGACAUACCUCUGGUGUACCAGUUGUCGUGCCAACGGCAUAGCUGGGUAGCUAUGUGUGGACGGGAUAAGUGCUGAAAGCAUCUAAGCAUGAAGCCCCCCUCAAGAUGAGAUUUCCCAACUUCGGUUAUAAGAUCCCUCAAAGAUGAUGAGGUUAAUAGGUUCGAGGUGGAAGCAUGGUGACAUGUGGAGCUGACGAAUACUAAUCGAUCGAAGACUUAAUCAA
This 317-nucleotide ribosomal RNA is filed under the name Staphylococcus aureus. Its description in RNAcentral is "partial 23S ribosomal RNA". It matches the Rfam family "Bacterial large subunit ribosomal RNA", at positions 2606 to 2925 of the family's 2925-position model. The record is from RNAcentral. Lineage: Bacteria; Bacillati; Bacillota; Bacilli; Caryophanales; Staphylococcaceae.